AUGGGGUGUUACUUGUCGCCGUCUUAUCCAAGUAUAUGCCAAAGCGUGGUCAGACCGACGAUAGUGCUUGAAUGCAGUGUAACUCAUGGACGUGUUUGUUUUGUGAGAAGUAUGGCAGAGCGUGGCUACAGGCUAAUGUGGCUAAUGGCAUGUCUGUCAGUGAACCAAGGGCAUUAUUUGCCUGUCGUGGCUAGAAAUAGUGCAGUGCGAAUGCAAGUCGCUCCUUGUGAGAAACUGCGUUCAGACCAAGAAGCCCCUGCUGCCUGCUACGUUCCAACUAUAUAUAGUUCGCUGUGCUAG
RNAcentral lists this ribosomal RNA (300 nucleotides) under Triticum aestivum (bread wheat). Its description in RNAcentral is "partial small subunit ribosomal RNA". The record is from RNAcentral. Lineage: Eukaryota; Viridiplantae; Streptophyta; Magnoliopsida; Poales; Poaceae.